AGAAGUAGAGUGGUUGUCCAGGUUGUUCAAUGUGAUCUUUAGGACUAAGAGGAUGCCGGAAGUGGAGAUGGAGUACAGUGGUGCCCUUGUACAAAAACAAAGGGGAUAUCCAGUGUUGCAACAGCUAUAGGGGUAUCAAAUUAAUAAGUCACACCAUGAAAGUCUGGGAGAGGGAGGUCGAGGCGAGGGUAAGGGAGAUGUCAUCUAUAUCCGUGAACCAGUUCGAUUUCAUGCCGGGUCGCUCUACUACAGAAGCUAUCCACCUUGUGAGGAGAUUGGUGGAACAGUUUCAUCUAUAUCCGUGAACCAAUUCGGUUUCAUGCUGGGUCGCUCUACUACAAAAGCUAUUCACCUUGUGAGGAGAUUGGUGGAACAGUUCAGGUAUAAGAAGAAGGACCUGCACAUGGUGUUUAUCGACUUGGAGAAGGCGUACGAUAAGGUCCCUAGAGAGGUGCUAUGGAGAUGCUUGGAGGCGAAGAGCGUGCCAAAAGCCUACAUUAGAGUGAUCAAGGACAUGCAUGAUAGAGCUAAGACUAGGGUUAGGACUGUGGGUGGCGACUCAGACCAUUUUCCGGUGGUUAUGGGGCUACAUCAAGGAUCUUCGCUAAGCCCUCUCUUAUUUUCCUUGGUGAUGGAUGCUCUAACUCGCCAUAUUCAAGGGGAUGU
RNAcentral lists this long non-coding RNA (666 nucleotides) under Nicotiana benthamiana. RNAcentral describes it as "long non-coding RNA (NBEN_LNC030406)". Lineage: Eukaryota; Viridiplantae; Streptophyta; Magnoliopsida; Solanales; Solanaceae. The record is from RNAcentral.